RNAcentral lists this long non-coding RNA (1018 nucleotides) under Elaeis guineensis (African oil palm). RNAcentral describes it as "long non-coding RNA (EGUI_LNC015719)". Lineage: Eukaryota; Viridiplantae; Streptophyta; Magnoliopsida; Arecales; Arecaceae. The record is from RNAcentral.
AGCAUGCAUCACUGUCAAGAAUUUUAUGAACAUGAUAGAAAAUAAUAAGAACGCUGUCCUCUAAUUAAGAGGACAGGCAACUGGCAGACACAAGUAAAUAAAACAAGCAAAGAAUUCCACUCCACUUUAAUGGCUAACACACAACGUGGUCACUGGCAAAUCCCUGGAUGUCACCUUUUAUGCAUUCACGGCGUUCAGCUUUGGGUAAGGCUCAAAGCCAUGGUCCACCGUUGUUGGCAGAAUACUCGCCGAUCCAAACGCCGGGUAAUUAAGUGAAGAGGGGAGGUCAUUUUCUGGAAGCGUUGGUGCACUUAUUAAGAGUACAGCCCGGACCUCCAUUAUUAAGAAACUGAUGUGAUGACCCAAAAGGAUUCAAUUUCAGUGCUGCAUCAUUGCCCCAAAAUGGAGAACGUAGCUUUAAUACCAUUGCCCAAUGACGAGUUCCCAAUUGUGGCUCUUUUUUUUGGUUGGAAAAUGGUGCAUGGCUUUGUGAACAGGUAGUAGGCACCCAUGAAUGCAAAAAUUUUUGUCUGCAAACCCUAUUUCACAAGAAAUUGUUUGUGAAGAUUAAUUGUCACUUCAGCAUUGCAUUUGCUCUCGAUGUGUGUGAUCGGACUUUAUAAGUGCCAUAAUAAUAUGUAAGAUUCUUUCUUAAUUGGAUGGAGCAUAUUCAUUAAAUCAUUGUUAGAGACAAUGAUACAUUAAUUGUUGCUCCCAUGGCAAAUCAACCAUGCAAAAGAGGAACAUGGCGACCCACUAGAUUUUGUCUGUUUAUUGAGUAUGAUUAGUAAAACAAAGAUAUAUGCUAUGAGAACCCAUGUUAUAAUAUCAUUUCAAGGAACAUUCCAUGUCAAUGGACAAAAACCAGUCACAUGCUUCAUAUUCAGGGCCACAAGUAUGCUAUAUUUUCUUUUCAAACAGGAUGCAACUAAAGUUGUCUGUAAUGAUAUGAGUUAUUGUAGAUUUGUUAUUCUGGGAAUAAAAAUUGAUUACUAAGACAAAACUUAUGUAAUGAGGA